UACGGAGGGGGCCAGCGUUGUUCGGAAUUAUUGGGCGUAAAGCGCGCGUAGGCGGCCGCGCAAGUCGGUCGUGAAAACCCUCGGCUCAACCGGGGAAUGGCGUCCGAAACUGCAUGGCUUGAGUCCUGGAGAGGGUAGUGGAAUUCCCAGUGUAGCGGUGAAAUGCGUAGAUACUGGGAGGAACACCGGUGGCGAAGGCGGCUACCUGGACAGGUACUGACGCUGAGGCGCGAAAGCUAGGGGAGCAAACAGG
Molecule: ribosomal RNA, 253 nt
Filed under: uncultured Acidobacteriota bacterium
Lineage: Bacteria; Pseudomonadati; Acidobacteriota
Description: uncultured Acidobacteria bacterium partial 16S ribosomal RNA
Rfam family: Bacterial small subunit ribosomal RNA
Source: RNAcentral